This 1030-nucleotide ribosomal RNA is filed under the name Harringtonia lauricola. Its description in RNAcentral is "SSU rRNA". It matches the Rfam family "Eukaryotic small subunit ribosomal RNA", at positions 73 to 1112 of the family's 1831-position model. Lineage: Eukaryota; Fungi; Ascomycota; Sordariomycetes; Ophiostomatales; Ophiostomataceae. The record is from RNAcentral.
AUUGUACCGCGAAACUGCGAAUGGCUCAUUAAAUCAGUUAUCGUCUAUUUGAUAGUACCUUACUACUUGGAUAACCGUGGUAAUUCUAGAGCUAAUACAUGCUGAAAACCCCGACUUCGGAAGGGAUGUAUUUAUUAGAUUAAAAACCAAUGCCCUCCGGGGCUCCCUGGUGAUUCAUGAUAACUUCUCGAAUCGCACGGCCUUGCGCCGGCGAUGGUUCAUUCAAAUUUCUGCCCUAUCAACUUUCGACGGCUGGGUCUUGGCCAGCCAUGGUGACAACGGGUAACGGAGGGUUAGGGCUCGACCCCGGAGAAGGAGCCUGAGAAACGGCUACUACAUCUAAGGAAGGCAGCAGGCGCGCAAAUUACCCAAUCCCGACGCGGGGAGGUAGUGACAAUAAAUACUGAUACAGGGCUCUUUAGGGUCGUGUAAUUGGAAUGAGUACAGUUUAAUUCCCUUAACGAGGAACAAUUGGAGGGCAAGUCUGGUGCCAGCAGCCGCGGUAAUUCCAGCUCCAAUAGCGUAUAUUAAAGUUGUUGCAGUUAAAAAGCUCGUAGUUGAACCUUGGGCCUGGCUGGCCGGUCCGCCUCACCGCGUGCACUGGUCCGGCCGGGCCUUUCCCUCUGGGGAGCCGCAUGCCCUUCACUGGGCGUGCCGGGGAACCAGGACGUUUACUUUGAAAAAAUUAGAGUGUUCAAAGCAGGCUUAUGCUCGGAUACAUUAGCAUGGAAUAAUGGAAUAGGACGUGCGGUUCUAUUUUGUUGGUUUCUAGGACCGCCGUAAUGAUUAAUAGGGACAGUCGGGGGCAUCAGUAUUCAAUUGUCAGAGGUGAAAUUCUUGGAUUUAUUGAAGACUAACUACUGCGAAAGCAUUUGCCAAGGAUGUUUUCAUUAAUCAGGAACGAAAGUUAGGGGAUCGAAGACGAUCAGAUACCGUCGUAGUCUUAACCAUAAACUAUGCCGACUAGGGAUCGGACGCUGUUGUCUUUUGACGCGUUCGGCACCUUACACGAAAGUACAAGUUUCUGGGU